RNAcentral lists this ribosomal RNA (276 nucleotides) under uncultured bacterium. RNAcentral describes it as "partial 16S ribosomal RNA". It matches the Rfam family "Bacterial small subunit ribosomal RNA", at positions 76 to 353 of the family's 1533-position model. The record is from RNAcentral.
UCAAACUGAAGAUGGCGACCGGCGCACGGUGAGUAACACGUAUCCAACCUGCCGAUAACUCCGGAAUAGCCUUUCGAAAGAAAGAUUAAUACCGGAUGGCAUACGAAUAUCGCAUGAUAUUUUUAUUAAAGAAUUUCGGUUAUCGAUGGGGAUGCGUUCCAUUAGUUUGUUGGCGGGGUAACGGCCCACCAAGACUACGAUGGAUAGGGGUUCUGAGAGGAAGGUCCCCCACAUUGGAACUGAGACACGGUCCAAACUCCUACGGGAGGCAGCAUG